GAUACCGUUGUCACUGGAUUUCGAUGGCAAUGAUUUUGACGACGGGGAUUACGAAGGAAACCCAAAUCGCAGAAGUUUCUCAUACAACGCUCAACUGGAAACGCGGGGGCAGAAGGGACAACGAGCGAAUGGGGGGUGGCGCUCUAUUCGGAUUGGCCUUUCAUGCUCUCAUACUAUGAAACGUGGAAGGGCCAUCUGGGUCGAAGAUUUCAGGGGUCCAUCUUCCCAUAUUUAGAAACGAUGCUUAUUUAGACGGUGUGGCUGGGUUCAUUCCAUUGCCAUUAAAAAAAUGUAAUAGCCGAAUAAUGUGCAGGUGCC
Molecule: long non-coding RNA, 318 nt
Filed under: Physcomitrium patens
Lineage: Eukaryota; Viridiplantae; Streptophyta; Bryopsida; Funariales; Funariaceae
Description: long non-coding RNA (PPAT_LNC001941)
Source: RNAcentral